Molecule: ribosomal RNA, 463 nt
Filed under: uncultured bacterium
Lineage: Bacteria
Description: bacterial SSU rRNA
Rfam family: Bacterial small subunit ribosomal RNA
Source: RNAcentral
AUUGAACGCUGGCGGAAUGCUUUACACAUGCAAGUCGAACGGCAGCACGGGGCAACCUGGUGGCGAGUGGCGAACGGGUGAGUAAUACAUCGGAACGUGCCCAAUCGUGGGGGAUAACGUAGCGAAAGUUACGCUAAUACCGCAUACGAUCUACGGAUGAAAGCGGGGGAUCGCAAGACCUCGCGCGAAUGGAGCGGCCGAUGUCAGAUUAGGUAGUUGGUGGGGUAAAGGCUCACCAAGCCGACGAUCUGUAGCUGGUCUGAGAGGACGACCAGCCACACUGGGACUGAGACACGGCCCAGACUCCUACGGGAGGCAGCAGUGGGGAAUUUUGGACAAUGGGCGCAAGCCUGAUCCAGCCAUUCCGCGUGCAGGAUGAAGGCCUUCGGGUUGUAAACUGCUUUGUUACGGAACGAAACGGUUCUCUCUAAUACAGGGGGCUAAUGACGGUACCGUAAGAACU